CAUAGCGACUAUCGUGGCAUAUCAAUAAGCGGAGGAAAAGAAACUAACAAGGAUUCCCUAGUAACGGCGAGUGAAGCGGGAAGAGCUCAAAUUUGAAAUCUUCAAGGGUUUACCUUUACGAAUUGUAGUUUAAAGAAGUGUUUUCUGUUGAGUUUCGGUAAAAGUUCUUUGGAAUAGGACAUCAUAGAGGGUGAGAAUCCCGUAUUUGACCGUUACUUUCCAGCUGUGUGAUACACUUUCAAAGAGUCGGAUUGUUUGGGAAUGCAGUCCAAAAUGGGUGGUAAAUUUCAUCUAAGGCUAAAUAUUGGCGAGAGACCGAUAGCGAACAAGUACCGUGAGGGAAAGAUGAAAAGAACUUUGAAAAGAGAGUUAAACAGUACGUGAAAUUGUCAAAAGGGAAGCGUUUGACACCAGUGUUGUUUUCUCGAAAAUCAAUUAAAGAUGAUGGGAUUUUGUGUUGUAUUGACUUUAUCAGCUUUCUGCACUUUUUUCUUAUCUUUUUUAAUGCACUUUUCGUUUAACAAGUCAACAUCAAUUUCUUUUGUUGUAAAAGAGUCAUUGGAAGGUGGCUUUUUCUUCGGAAAAAGUGUUUAUAGCCUUUGGCUUCUGCAAUCGGAGAGAUUGAGGUCUGCAGCGUAGAUCCUUCGGGGUUAGAUACAUUUGUGCUAAGCUAUAGUUCUUUAUAGACAACUUGUUGACUAUAAUCAAUCCUGUAACUUACUCGCUUAUGCUAUUUUACCUACGCUUAGGAUGUUGACGCGCGUGUGUGCGUG
RNAcentral lists this ribosomal RNA (773 nucleotides) under uncultured Neocallimastigales. RNAcentral describes it as "partial large subunit ribosomal RNA". The stretch from base 5 to 692 matches the Rfam family "Eukaryotic large subunit ribosomal RNA", at positions 24 to 664 of the family's 3401-position model. The record is from RNAcentral. Lineage: Eukaryota; Fungi; Neocallimastigomycota; Neocallimastigomycetes; Neocallimastigales.